RNAcentral lists this ribosomal RNA (454 nucleotides) under uncultured bacterium. RNAcentral's name for it is "bacterial SSU rRNA". It matches the Rfam family "Bacterial small subunit ribosomal RNA", at positions 355 to 801 of the family's 1533-position model. The record is from RNAcentral.
UGGGGAAUAUUGGACAAUGGGCGCAAGCCUGAUCCAGCCAUACCGCGUGGGUGAAGAAGGCCUUCGGGUUGUAAAGCCCUUUUGUUGGGAAAGAAAUCCAGCUGGCUAAUACCCGGUUGGGAUGACGGUACCCAAAGAAUAAGCACCGGCUAACUUCGUGCCAGCAGCCGCGGUAAUACGAAGGGUGCAAGCGUUACUCGGAAUUACUGGGCGUAAAGCGUGCGUAGGUGGUCGUUUAAGUCCGUUGUGAAAGCCCUGGGCUCAACCUGGGAACUGCAGUGGAUACUGGACGACUAGAGUGUGGUAGAGGGUAGCGGAAUUCCUGGUGUAGCAGUGAAAUGCGUAGAGAUCAGGAGGAACAUCCAUGGCGAAGGCAGCUACCUGGACCAACACUGACACUGAGGCACGAAAGCGUGGGGAGCAAACAGGAUUAGAUACCCCCGUAGUCCCUGAG